Molecule: ribosomal RNA, 548 nt
Filed under: uncultured bacterium
Lineage: Bacteria
Description: bacterial SSU rRNA
Rfam family: Bacterial small subunit ribosomal RNA
Source: RNAcentral
ACAUCUUGCGCUAACCUUAGAGAUAAGGCGUUCCCUUCGGGGACGCAAUGACAGGUGGUGCAUGGUCGUCGUCAGCUCGUGUCGUGAGAUGUUGGGUUAAGUCCCGCAACGAGCGCAACCCUUGUUACUAGUUGCCAGCAUUAAGUUGGGCACUCUAGUGAGACUGCCGGUGACAAACCGGAGGAAGGUGGGGACGACGUCAGAUCAUCAUGCCCCUUAUGACCUGGGCUACACACGUGCUACAAUGGACGGUACAACGAGUCGCAAGCUCGCGAGAGUAAGCUAAUCUCUUAAAGCCGUUCUCAGUUCGGACUGUAGGCUGCAACUCGCCUACACGAAGUCGGAAUCGCUAGUAAUCGCGGAUCAGCAUGCCGCGGUGAAUACGUUCCCGGGCCUUGUACACACCGCCCGUCACACCAUGGGAGUUUGUAACGCCCAAAGUCGGUGGCCUAACCUUUAUGGAGGGAGCCGCCUAAGGCGGGACAGAUGACUGGGGUGAAGUCGUAACAAGGUAGCCGUAGGAGAACCUGCGGCUGGAUCACCUCCUU